AACCUGUGGUGGUCGACACAAG
This 22-nucleotide microRNA is filed under the name Phaeodactylum tricornutum. Its description in RNAcentral is "pti-miR5474". The record is from miRBase by way of RNAcentral. Lineage: Eukaryota; Bacillariophyta; Bacillariophyceae; Surirellales; Neidiaceae.